GGUGGCUCAAUGGUAGAGUUUUUGUCUUGCAUGCAUGAGGCCCUGGGUUCAAUUCCUCAGCACCA
Molecule: transfer RNA, 65 nt
Filed under: Dipodomys ordii (Ord's kangaroo rat)
Lineage: Eukaryota; Metazoa; Chordata; Mammalia; Rodentia; Heteromyidae
Rfam family: tRNA
About the family: Transfer RNA (tRNA) molecules are approximately 80 nucleotides in length. Their secondary structure includes four short double-helical elements and three loops (D, anti-codon, and T loops).
Source: Rfam by way of RNAcentral